Brachypodium distachyon (stiff brome) is the source of this 644-nucleotide long non-coding RNA. RefSeq lists it as uncharacterized. The record is from RefSeq and is a predicted model, not a curated record. NCBI's taxonomy places the organism in Eukaryota, Viridiplantae, Streptophyta, Magnoliopsida, Poales, Poaceae. The transcript is spliced from 3 exons.
UUUAUCCGUGACCACCCCCAUGACCUCCAGCUGCCACAAACAUGCAUUCGCUUAUUCUCCCCGUGCAUCUAACAGUUCCACUCGACUGGCUACAGAUUGGGUCCAGAUGGCCACCGGCAACAGCAAGGAAUCCCUCUCAAUCGCUCUCCUCUGCCAUGUUCCGACUCAGCGCCGAUCACCACGCACUCCAUCCCUCGACCUCAGGCAGAUUUGAUCUCGACAUAGAAGACUCAAGUUCCCCCUUCUCUUGAAAUGAAGGAGCAGUUCUGGCAUCCAACUUAUAUUAUUUGAACAAUAAGACUGUAUGAUAUGGUAUAGCUAAUUGUCAGGGAUGUAUGUGCAAGUCUCUAGCCAAGAACUCUCUUCGCUGUUGUCUCGGCAUUGUACGAUUGAAAAUGAUGUUGCCUUUUCCGCUCACAGCCUCAAAUCAAACGUUUCCAAUCCAUUUGCCACAACAGGUACAUUGAUUGUUGUCUCAAUGGAUGCUGGCCAUUUAUGGAUUACAUCAUCUUCAACAAUUGAGAGAAAAGGAGAUGCAGUUUGUCAUUGGACAACACGUGGAUUUGUUCUGUAUGGUUAUGUAUAUAUAUCAGGGUGACAUUUUCACUUGAAAAAUAUCAAAUCGGUAUUGAUACAACUCAAAA